UUCCCAGCCCCAUUGCCACACGGCUCUUAAAUUCUACCCCCCUCGCCCUCUAUCAGUUCCGGGCGGAACCAGAGUUAAUCAUGUGAUCCUCUCGGUUCGUCUGCAAUCCCUUCCCCCGAGCAGUAGUUCCGCUGCGUUCAACCCUCCGUCACCGGCGUUCAGCUUGUGGUGAUGGUGAAUGGGUGAAUGAUCGGUGGCAGGCCUUUGCAAUAUGAGCAGAUUGCCCACUGGCCAGGAAAAUGCUGGAGUCAAUUGUUUUGGUCCCAAUGCCUCCCUCAGUACUGUACAAUCCAUCACUGCAUCCCAAGUGACAGCUAGGUUAGACCCAUACACAUCUAGUGGUAAACGGGUCAUUUCUGAUGUCAGGAGGACUUUCUGUUUAUUUGUUACAUUUGACCUUUUAUUUGUUGGUUUACUGUGGAUAAUCGAAUUGAAUGUAGAUGGUGGCAUAAUUCGUAGGUUAAAAACUGAAGUCAUAUGUUAUGAUUUCCACAGUUCUUACUUUGAUAUUUUUGUUACAACACUGGUGGGUAAUUGCGUGCGGUUGCCAGCAAAAUCAAAGAACAUUGGCGUCUCGUCCAUGUUACCAAUCAGUGAGAGCGGAUGCUGCCUGGCCUGCUGCGUUCACCAGCAACUUUUAUGUGUGUUGCCUCUACAAAAAGGGUUGGCUUAUACAAAGAUUACAACAGCCGUUACCAGUGCCUUUCUAAUUGCAAAGGUUAUCAUUUCCAAGCUUUUGGUAGAAGGAACAGCCUUUGCCUAUUUGCUGCCAAUAAUCUCCUUCAUACUUGCCUGGAUUGAGACCUGGUUCCUGGAUUUUAAAGUUUUGCCGCAAGAGGCAAAGGAUGAAAACAGAGUCUUUACUGUAUCUGAUGUAUCAGAACAUGCACCUCUCAUCCUACCUGGCCCUCUCUCAGAUGGCCAGUUUUAUUCUCCGCCUGAAUCUAUUGUGGAUUCUGAAGAAGAAAAUGAUACCGAGUAUCCAGCACAUUAGCAGGUGUGGAAAAUGGUGCAUCAGUUGACUCCUGUUUGUUUUGCUCAACUUCUAGCCUCAGGUGGAUAAAGUUCAGUCUGAAGCAAAUAUUGGAACUCUUUGAAAUAGCAGAGCUUUGAGAUUCGCCUGAGACUUGAAUUAUUCUUGGGUAUGACCGUGUUUAGCCAAUAGCAAGACUUGAUUCACUGUGCUCAAGAACCCUUCAGCUGUUGGGAGUUCAUCGCUAUACUGCCUUCUGCCAUCUUGGAAAUGGCUUCUUUAUCCUCCCUUUACUAAACCAAUACUCUAAUCACGCAAUCCUGCACGAUUAGUUUCCAAAAUAUGUAAUUUUGGUUUGGAAUCAAUUAAUUCAUGAUUAAUAAUUCUAUUUAAAAUAACUUUGAAGGGUGUGAUUAGAUUAUCUGUCCAAUGUAUUUGGGCCUGUUCAUUUUAAGCAUUAUGUUGCACUAUGAUUCUUGAUUAUUUGUGUUUGGUCUUUCAUUAUUUUAAAUGAAAUUGGCCAAACACAGUAAAUGAUAAAAUGUUCUGAACUGUUUUCAGACUUUGCCUUAUUUGUAAAGGUAAGUAUGAAAGGGAGCACUGCAUGAGUGCCCUGCUGCAUGUGUUUGUCACCCAUGUUCCCAGAGUGUCACUGCAUGUCAUAACUUUCUUCAGAAUUAAGGAAGCUUCUUAAAAAUUAUUUGUAUUUCUUAACAAUAGUAACAUGUUCUGUACGGCAGCUUGUAACAAGACUCAGCAGCAGCACUCUCUGCUAAGCACUCAGUGACCCAGCUCCCUCUGAUUAGGGGUGUACAAAAUUCCCAUCUUUGGUCUAGAAUAUUCCAUGCUUUGUGAUAGUUGAAAUAAAAGUUUUAAAAAGCAGCAUUUUAUUUGAUUGCAGUCAAAUAGACUCUCUGAUAAAGAACAUUGUACCUGGCAAAGCUCUAGCAGUUCCUAGCUCAUCUCUCUCCUGCAGCUGUGGAAAACGUUAAGAUUUUGCAAUGAUAUUGUACCAAGAUUGUCUGACCACUACCCCUAGGAAGACACCUGUCUUUUUUAACCUCCCUUGCUUCAGUAAAGCAACAUGUCUUCUGACCCUGCCCUAAGGAAGCUUCCAUGCCCUUUGAACUGCAUAUAGAUGGGCUAGCCAGCUCUUCUCAAGCUCUUCUACAACCUGCCUCCAGCACUGAGGUCUUUAAAUUCUUAAUCACUACUCAGUAAUCACUACCUAGGAAGGAAUCAAAUAUGUGCUUUACUUGACCAUCAGAUUUUGGCUUCUCAAAACUCUGAGACAGCUGUAAGUUUGAUUAUAAACAAGAAUUGGUAAGGAUGCAUCUUCUCUUUCCAGGGCAACAGGAGGCAACGAGAGUUAAUUAGUAGCAUAUCUCUUUAACAGAUGAUUCCUUUGUCCACAGCUCCCCAUAGAAUGAGAGCAGUGUUGUAGAAUGGUGGGCAGAGAAUAUACUGCAUCUAAAGAGUACUUUUGUUAAUUAUUCUCAGUUUUGCACAGAUUAAUGUAAUAGCUUUGAUUUGAAGUGAUGAUCAUAAUUUGGCUUUAUUAAUAUAGUUUGAUGUCUUAAGUAAAGUUAUGGUGCAAUUAGGUACACCUGUUCAAACAAGUUUUGCAAAUCAGUUAUUUAAUGUUAAUCAAUUCAGUGAGAUAUUGGAGUACUGCAGUUCAUGCACUGAUACUGAAUUACUUAGUGGCUAUUCCCAAAGCGCAUUUACGUCAUAUUUCAUAUGUGAUAUCCACUUUUAAUUGCAAUUGAGAACUGUUUUUAUAUUUAAAUCAAAUUAUUGGAAUUUCUAAUUGUUUUAUCUCAAACAACUUCAAGAGCAGGCUCUUUGUUCAAAAUGAUUGAAUAAUUAUCUGUUCAAUUUAUCAGCUGAUGUGUUUUUUCUGUCUGCAACCUUGCACUAUUUGUAUUCUGAUCAUAUUUUUAAGGUAAAGUUCCAACUGAAUUAAUAUUCCUAAUGUUUAUGUUUCUAUGUAUAUCUAACAGUGGAUUAUAGCCCAGUGAUUUUUUUUUAUUGUAUCUCUAUUCAUUGAGUUUCUUCCCUGUCAGCUGUCUUUCAAAAAGACAUCCUACAGUGGGAAUGAGAUCGAAUAGUGAUGGAAUGGAAAAAAAAUGGUCCUGCUUCUUAGUGAUGCUAGGUCUAAUUCUACACAAAAGAAUUGAGUUUCUUCUGUGCUUAAUGUCAGCAGUUUGAUCACUUUAUGAUUAGCUUACAAAUAAUUGUCUGAAUAAAAAAACGUCAACAAAUGCAAAGCUGUGCAAAAAAGUUCUGCAUGCAAUAUCUGUAUCUCCAGUCAUGACUUGUUUUAUUAAUGUAAUAAAUGCAUUAUCGUUUCACUAA
RNA transcript from Mobula hypostoma (lesser devil ray), 3331 nucleotides. It is a transcript of the gene named STARD3 N-terminal like, with no coding region annotated. The transcript is spliced from 11 exons. The record is from RefSeq and is a predicted model, not a curated record. NCBI's taxonomy places the organism in Eukaryota, Metazoa, Chordata, Chondrichthyes, Myliobatiformes, Myliobatidae.